AGCAGUAGCCGCGGUAAUACGUAGGUGGCAAGCGUUGUCCGGAAUUAUUGGGCGUAAAGGGCUCGCAGGCGGUUUCUUAAGCCUGAUGUGAAAGCCCCCGGCUCAACCGGGGAGGGUCAUUGGAAACUGGGAAACUUGAGUGCAGAAGAGGAGAGUGGAAUUCCACGUGUAGCGGUGAAAUGCGUAGAGAUGUGGAGGAACACCAGUGGCGAAGGCGACUCUCUGGUCUGUAACUGACGCUGAGGAGCGAAAGCGUGGGGAGCGAACAGGAUUAGAGACCCCCGUAUCCCUGUCUCUUAUACA
Molecule: ribosomal RNA, 303 nt
Filed under: uncultured bacterium
Lineage: Bacteria
Description: partial 16S ribosomal RNA
Rfam family: Bacterial small subunit ribosomal RNA
Source: RNAcentral